GGGGAAUAUUGGGCAAUGGGGGAAACCCUGACCCAGCCAUGCCGCGUGAGUGAUGAAGGCCUUCGGGUCGUAAAGCUCUGUGGGGAGGGAAAAAGCGAUGUCCCGUGAACAAUGGGGUGUUGUGAUGGUACCUCCUUAGCAAGCACCGGCUAACUCUGUGCCAGCAGCCGCGGUAAUACAGAGGGUGCAAACGUUGCUCGGAAUUAUUGGGCGUAAAGCGCACGUAGGCGGCAUCGUAAGUCCGAUGUGAAAGCCCUGGGCUCAACCCAGGAAGUGCAUUGGAUACUGCGGAGCUUGAAUCUGGAAGAGGGUCGCGGAAUUCCCGGUGUAGAGGUGAAAUUCGUAGAUAUCGGGAGGAACACCAGUGGCGAAGGCGGCGACCUGGGCCAAGAUUGACGCUGAGGUGCGAAAGCGUGGGGAGCAAAC
RNAcentral lists this ribosomal RNA (426 nucleotides) under uncultured bacterium. RNAcentral describes it as "bacterial SSU rRNA". It matches the Rfam family "Bacterial small subunit ribosomal RNA", at positions 356 to 773 of the family's 1533-position model. The record is from RNAcentral.